GACGAACGCUGGCGGCGUGCUUAACACAUGCAAGUCGAACGGAAAGGCCCUGCUUUUGUGGGGUGCUCGAGUGGCGAACGGGUGAGUAACACGUGAGUAACCUGCCCUUGACUUUGGGAUAACUUCAGGAAACUGGGGCUAAUACCGGAUAGGAGCUCCUGCUGCAUGGUGGGGGUUGGAAAGUUUCGGCGGUUGGGGAUGGACUCGCGGCUUAUCAGCUUGUUGGUGGGGUAGUGGCUGACCAAGGCUUUGACGGGUAGCCGGCCUGAGAGGGUGACCGGCGACAUUGGGACUGAGAUAGGGACCAGACGGCUACGGGAGGCAGCAGUGGGGAAUAUUGCAGAAUGGGCGGAAGCCUGAUGCAGCAACGCCGCGUGCGGGAUGACGGGCUUCGGGUUGUAAACCGCUGUCGCCUGUGACGAAGCGUGAGUGACGGUAAUGGGUAAAGAAGCACCGGCUAACUACGUG
This 468-nucleotide ribosomal RNA is filed under the name uncultured bacterium. Its description in RNAcentral is "partial 16S ribosomal RNA". It matches the Rfam family "Bacterial small subunit ribosomal RNA", at positions 28 to 507 of the family's 1533-position model. The record is from RNAcentral.